This 253-nucleotide ribosomal RNA is filed under the name uncultured bacterium. RNAcentral describes it as "partial 16S ribosomal RNA". It matches the Rfam family "Bacterial small subunit ribosomal RNA", at positions 524 to 776 of the family's 1533-position model. The record is from RNAcentral.
UGCGGAGGGGGCUAGCGUUGUUCGGAAUUACUGGGCGUAAAGCGCGCGUAGGCGGACCUGCAAGUCGGGGGUGAAAGCCCGAGGCUCAACCUCGGAACUGCCUUCGAUACUGCGGGUCUCGAGUCCGGGAGAGGUGAGUGGAAUUCCUAGUGUAGAGGUGAAAUUCGUAGAUAUUAGGAAGAACACCAGUGGCGAAGGCGGCUCACUGGCCCGGUACUGACGCUGAGGCGCGAAAGCGUGGGGAGCAAACAGG